RNAcentral lists this ribosomal RNA (498 nucleotides) under uncultured bacterium. Its description in RNAcentral is "partial 16S ribosomal RNA". It matches the Rfam family "Bacterial small subunit ribosomal RNA", at positions 30 to 523 of the family's 1533-position model. The record is from RNAcentral.
AUUGAACGCUGGCGGCAUGCCUUACACAUGCAAGUCGAACGGUAACAGGUCUUCGGAUGUUGACGAGUGGCGAACGGGUGAGUAAUACAUCGGAACGUGCCUAGUAGUGGGGGAUAACUACUCGAAAGAGUGGCUAAUACCGCAUGAGAUCUACGGAUGAAAGCAGGGGAUCGCAAGACCUUGUGCUACUAGAGCGGCCGAUGGCAGAUUAGGUAGUUGGUGGGAUAAAAGCUUACCAAGCCGACGAUCUGUAGCUGGUCUGAGAGGACGAUCAGCCACACUGGGACUGAGACACGGCCCAGACUCCUGCGGGAGGCAGCAGUGGGUAAUUUUGAACAAUGGGCGCAAGCCUGAUCCAGCAAUGCCGCGUGCAGGAUGAAGGCCUUCGGGUUGUAAACUGCUUUUGUACGGAACGAAAAGCCCCGGGUUAAUACCCUGGGGUCAUGACGGUACCGUAAGAAUAAGCACCGGCUAACUACGUGCCAGCCGCCGCCGUAA